Molecule: long non-coding RNA, 246 nt
Filed under: Prunus persica (peach)
Lineage: Eukaryota; Viridiplantae; Streptophyta; Magnoliopsida; Rosales; Rosaceae
Description: long non-coding RNA (PPER_LNC008722)
Source: RNAcentral
UGGUGUAUUAUAUAGUUCUAGGGAUUGUAUUUCACUCAAAACCCACCAAAUGACUCCUCCCACAAUAUUAUGAUGUUCCCCAAGUUUUGAACUUAAUCCGAUAUCGAUUGGUCCUUGAAAUCGGACAAUUCAGGUUCGUACGAAGUUCGUUCUGAAAUGGGGUGAUUGGUGUAUUGUAUUGUUCUAGAGAUUGGAUUUCACUCAAAACCCACCAAAUGACUCCUCUCACAAUAUUAUGAUGUUCCC